GGGCGCAUAGCUCAGUUGGCUAGAGCAUCUGGUUUACAUCCAGAGGGUCGGGGGUUCGAGUCCCUCUGCGCCCA
This 74-nucleotide transfer RNA is filed under the name Acidimicrobiales bacterium. RNAcentral describes it as "tRNA-Val". It matches the Rfam family "tRNA". From Rfam's summary of the family: Transfer RNA (tRNA) molecules are approximately 80 nucleotides in length. Their secondary structure includes four short double-helical elements and three loops (D, anti-codon, and T loops). RNAcentral also lists the same sequence under 1 other name. The record is from RNAcentral. Lineage: Bacteria; Bacillati; Actinomycetota; Acidimicrobiia; Acidimicrobiales.